GCGGGUGUAGCUCAGUGGUAGAGCGCCACCUUGCCAAGGUGGAUGUCGACGGUUCGAAUCCGUUCACCCGCUCCA
This 75-nucleotide transfer RNA is filed under the name Gemmatimonadaceae bacterium. RNAcentral describes it as "tRNA-Gly". It matches the Rfam family "tRNA". Rfam says of the family: Transfer RNA (tRNA) molecules are approximately 80 nucleotides in length. Their secondary structure includes four short double-helical elements and three loops (D, anti-codon, and T loops). The record is from RNAcentral. Lineage: Bacteria; Pseudomonadati; Gemmatimonadota; Gemmatimonadia; Gemmatimonadales; Gemmatimonadaceae. RNAcentral also lists the same sequence under 2 other names.